This 316-nucleotide unclassified non-coding RNA is filed under the name Hevea brasiliensis (rubber tree). The record is from RNAcentral. Lineage: Eukaryota; Viridiplantae; Streptophyta; Magnoliopsida; Malpighiales; Euphorbiaceae.
AUCAGGCUAAUCAAGGGCAGCUUUGCUCUUCCGUCCAGAUAUUGGCUUUGGUAAACCAUCAAAUAUAGGUAUAUUUAUUGCUGCAGAUGAGAGAGCCUGCAGGUCAUGUUUCAAACUCCACUUAGAAGUUGGCCAAACAGAAGAAGUAUUAUUGUCGUCUUGGUCAAGCAGACUUGGUGUACUUGAUGAUUUACGAACUCCAGUCAGUAGUCCAUCAGAAAUAAAAGAAUCUCCCAAACCCACUGGUAUAGAAUUUAACCAUCCCGGCUCUGAUUCAGCAUAGAGCACUGUUCGGCUCGCUGAUUUUGGUCUCAUA